UGCAGGUCCAGGUAGAGGGCUCCAGCCUCU
Molecule: small RNA, 30 nt
Filed under: Bombyx mori (domestic silkworm)
Lineage: Eukaryota; Metazoa; Arthropoda; Insecta; Lepidoptera; Bombycidae
Description: ovarian small RNA-8503
Source: RNAcentral